This 480-nucleotide ribosomal RNA is filed under the name uncultured bacterium. Its description in RNAcentral is "partial 16S ribosomal RNA". It matches the Rfam family "Bacterial small subunit ribosomal RNA", at positions 28 to 507 of the family's 1533-position model. The record is from RNAcentral.
GAUGAACGCUAGCGGCAGGCCUAACACAUGCAAGUCGAGGGGUAGAAGGAGCUUGCUCCUUUGAGACCGGCGCACGGGUGCGUAACGCGUAUGCAAUCUACCUUGUACAGGGGAAUAGCCCAGAGAAAUUUGGAUUAAUGCCCCAUAGUAUAUAACCUUCGCAUGUUGGUUAUAUUAAAGUUCCAACGGUACAAGAUGAGCAUGCGUCCCAUUAGUUAGUUGGUAAGGUAACGGCUUACCAAGACGAUGAUGGGUAGGGGUCCUGAGAGGGAGAUCCCCCACACUUGUACUGAGACACGGACCAGACUCCUACGGGAGGCAGCAGUGAGGAAUAGUGGUCAAUGGUCGCAAGACUGAACCAGCCAUGCCGCGUGCAGGAAGACGGUCCUAUGGAUUGUAAACUGCUUUUAUACAGGAAGAAACCCUCCCACGUGUGGGAGCUUGACGGUACUGUAGGAAUAAGGAUCGGCUAACUCCGUG